This 1452-nucleotide ribosomal RNA is filed under the name Staphylococcus haemolyticus. RNAcentral describes it as "bacterial SSU rRNA". It matches the Rfam family "Bacterial small subunit ribosomal RNA". The record is from RNAcentral. Lineage: Bacteria; Bacillati; Bacillota; Bacilli; Caryophanales; Staphylococcaceae.
GAUGAACGCUGGCGGCGUGCCUAAUACAUGCAAGUCGAGCGAACAGACAAGGAGCUUGCUCCUUUGACGUUAGCGGCGGACGGGUGAGUAACACGUGGGUAACCUACCUAUAAGACUGGGAUAACUUCGGGAAACCGGAGCUAAUACCGGAUAAUAUUUCGAACCGCAUGGUUCGAUAGUGAAAGAUGGUUUUGCUAUCACUUAUAGAUGGACCCGCGCCGUAUUAGCUAGUUGGUAAGGUAACGGCUUACCAAGGCGACGAUACGUAGCCGACCUGAGAGGGUGAUCGGCCACACUGGAACUGAGACACGGUCCAGACUCCUACGGGAGGCAGCAGUAGGGAAUCUUCCGCAAUGGGCGAAAGCCUGACGGAGCAACGCCGCGUGAGUGAUGAAGGUCUUCGGAUCGUAAAACUCUGUUAUUAGGGAAGAACAUACGUGUAAGUAACUAUGCACGUCUUGACGGUACCUAAUCAGAAAGCCACGGCUAACUACGUGCCAGCAGCCGCGGUAAUACGUAGGUGGCAAGCGUUAUCCGGAAUUAUUGGGCGUAAAGCGCGCGUAGGCGGUUUUUUAAGUCUGAUGUGAAAGCCCACGGCUCAACCGUGGAGGGUCAUUGGAAACUGGAAAACUUGAGUGCAGAAGAGGAAAGUGGAAUUCCAUGUGUAGCGGUGAAAUGCGCAGAGAUAUGGAGGAACCACCAGUGGCGAAGGCGACUUUCUGGUCUGUAACUGACGCUGAUGUGCGAAAGCGUGGGGAUCAAACAGGAUUAGAUACCCUGGUAGUCCACGCCGUAAACGAUGAGUGCUAAGUGUUAGGGGGUUUCCGCCCCUUAGUGCUGCAGCUAACGCAUUAAGCACUCCGCCUGGGGAGUACGACCGCAAGGUUGAAACUCAAAGGAAUUGACGGGGACCCGCACAAGCGGUGGAGCAUGUGGUUUAAUUCGAAGCAACGCGAAGAACCUUACCAAAUCUUGACAUCCUUUGACAACUCUAGAGAUAGAGCCUUCCCCUUCGGGGGACAAAGUGACAGGUGGUGCAUGGUUGUCGUCAGCUCGUGUCGUGAGAUGUUGGGUUAAGUCCCGCAACGAGCGCAACCCUUAAGCUUAGUUGCCAUCAUUAAGUUGGGCACUCUAAGUUGACUGCCGGUGACAAACCGGAGGAAGGGUGGGGGAUGACGUCAAAUCAUCAUGCCCCUUAUGAUUUUGGGCUACACACGUGCUACAAUGGACAAUACAAAGGGCAGCGAAACCGCGAGGUCAAGCAAAUCCCAUAAAAGUUGUUCUCAGUUCGGAUUGUAGUCUGCAACUCGACUACAUGAAGCUGGAAUCGCUAGUAAUCGUAGAUCAGCAUGCUACGGUGAAUACGUUCCCGGGUCUUGUACACACCGCCCGUCACACCACGAGAGUUUGUAACACCCGAAGCCGGUGGAGUAACCAUUUGGAGCUAGCCGU